CUCCUUCCUCCCGCGCGGCUGACGUGCAGUCACUUUCUACCAGCUCUGUCUGACAUCAUCACAGGGGGCUCGGUCAGCACUGGGCGCACUGUUAAAGCGCCCAGCGCUGACCGGGCCCCCUGACAAUCCGUCUCCAUUGGGUCGCCCUGACAGCAUGGGCCACCCGAUGGACCCUCUAACAUGCGGCCCCGGCGGUUUGCCGCGCGGGCCUGGGCCGCAAAAGAUGUGGCAGCUGGUACCCGGUCGCAGGGGUCCGCAGGGCAGCCGGGCCCCCUGGAGUGACAGGCCCGGUCGCAGCUGCAACCGCGGUAUGUAUGCCACUGCUCCCACACCC
Molecule: non-coding RNA, 334 nt
Organism: Pelobates cultripes (western spadefoot toad)
Lineage: Eukaryota; Metazoa; Chordata; Amphibia; Anura; Pelobatidae
Source: the annotation of a GenBank genome assembly